RNAcentral lists this ribosomal RNA (517 nucleotides) under uncultured Actinomyces sp. RNAcentral's name for it is "bacterial SSU rRNA". It matches the Rfam family "Bacterial small subunit ribosomal RNA", at positions 276 to 788 of the family's 1533-position model. The record is from RNAcentral. Lineage: Bacteria; Bacillati; Actinomycetota; Actinomycetes; Actinomycetales; Actinomycetaceae.
CGGAUACAUAGCCGGCCUGAGAGGGUGGACGGUCACACUGGGACUGAGACACGGCCCAGACUCCUACGGGAGGCAGCAGUGGGGAAUAUUGCACAAUGGGCGCAAGCCUGAUGCAGCGACGCCGCGUGAGGGAUGGAGGCCUUCGGGUUGUGAACCUCUUUCGCCAGUGAAGCAGGCCUGUCCCUUUUGUGGGUGGGUUGACGGUAGCUGGAUAAGAAGCGCCGGCUAACUACGUGCCAGCAGCCGCGGUAAUACGUAGGGCGCGAGCGUUGUCCGGAAUUAUUGGGCGUAAAGAGCUCGUAGGCGGCUGGUCGCGUCUGUCGUGAAAUCCUCUGGCUUAACUGGGGGCUUGCGGUGGGUACGGGCCGGCUUGAGUGCGGUAGGGGAGACUGGAACUCCUGGUGUAGCGGUGGAAUGCGCAGAUAUCAGGAAGAACACCGGUGGCGAAGGCGGGUCUCUGGGCCGUUACUGACGCUGAGGAGCGAAAGCGUGGGGAGCGAACAGGAUUAGAUACCCU